UGGGAUAGCUCAGUCGGUAGAGCAUGAGACUAUUAAUCUCAGUGUAGUGGGUUUGUGCCUCACAUUGGGUAAAAA
Podarcis lilfordi (Lilford's wall lizard) is the source of this 75-nucleotide non-coding RNA. Lineage: Eukaryota; Metazoa; Chordata; Lepidosauria; Squamata; Lacertidae. The record is from the annotation of a GenBank genome assembly.